UUUUACGGAGAGUUUGAUCCUGGCUCAGGACGAACGCUGGCGGCGUGCUUAACACAUGCAAGUCGAACGAUGAUGCCCAGCUUGCUGGGUGGAUUAGUGGCGAACGGGUGAGUAACACGUGAGUAACCUGCCCCUGACUCUGGGAUAAGCGUUGGAAACGACGUCUAAUACUGGAUAUGAUCACUGGCCGCAUGGUCUGGUGGUGGAAAGAUUUUUUGGUUGGGGAUGGACUCGCGGCCUAUCAGCUUGUUGGUGAGGUAAUGGCUCACCAAGGCGACGACGGGUAGCCGGCCUGAGAGGGUGACCGGCCACACUGGGACUGAGACACGGCCCAGACUCCUACGGGAGGCAGCAGUGGGGAAUAUUGCACAAUGGGCGAAAGCCUGAUGCAGCAACGCCGCGUGAGGGAUGACGGCCUUCGGGUUGUAAACCUCUUUUAGUAGGGAAGAAGCGAAAGUGACGGUACCUGCAGAAAAAGCACCGGCUAACUACGUGCCAGCAGCCGCGGUAAUACGUAGGGUGCAAGCGUUGUCCGGAAUUAUUGGGCGUAAAGAGCUCGUAGGCGGUUUGUCGCGUCUGCUGUGAAAUCCCGAGGCUCAACCUCGGGCUUGCAGUGGGUACGGGCAGACUAGAGUGCGGUAGGGGAGAUUGGAAUUCCUGGUGUAGCGGUGGAAUGCGCAGAUAUCAGGAGGAACACCGAUGGCGAAGGCAGAUCUCUGGGCCGUAACUGACGCUGAGGAGCGAAAGCAUGGGGAGCGAACAGGAUUAGAUACCCUGGUAGUCCAUGCCGUAAACGUUGGGCGCUAGAUGUAGGGACCUUUCCACGGUUUCUGUGUCGUAGCUAACGCAUUAAGCGCCCCGCCUGGGGAGUACGGCCGCAAGGCUAAAACUCAAAGGAAUUGACGGGGGCCCGCACAAGCGGCGGAGCAUGCGGAUUAAUUCGAUGCAACGCGAAGAACCUUACCAAGGCUUGACAUACACCGGAAACGGCCAGAGAUGGUCGCCCCCUUGUGGUCGGUGUACAGGUGGUGCAUGGUUGUCGUCAGCUCGUGUCGUGAGAUGUUGGGUUAAGUCCCGCAACGAGCGCAACCCUCGUUCUAUGUUGCCAGCGGGUUAUGCCGGGGACUCAUAGGAGACUGCCGGGGUCAACUCGGAGGAAGGUGGGGAUGACGUCAAAUCAUCAUGCCCCUUAUGUCUUGGGCUUCACGCAUGCUACAAUGGCCGGUACAAAGGGCUGCGAUACCGUAAGGUGGAGCGAAUCCCAAAAAGCCGGUCUCAGUUCGGAUUGAGGUCUGCAACUCGACCUCAUGAAGUCGGAGUCGCUAGUAAUCGCAGAUCAGCAACGCUGCGGUGAAUACGUUCCCGGGCCUUGUACACACCGCCCGUCAAGUCAUGAAAGUCGGUAACACCCGAAGCCGGUGGCCUAACCCUUGUGGAAGGAGCCGUCGAAGGUGGGAUCGGUGAUUAGGACUAAGUCGUAACAAGGUAGCCGUACCGGAAGGUGCGGCUGGAUCACCUCCUUUCUAAGGA
Molecule: ribosomal RNA, 1530 nt
Filed under: Curtobacterium sp. Leaf154
Lineage: Bacteria; Bacillati; Actinomycetota; Actinomycetes; Micrococcales; Microbacteriaceae
Also listed under: 4 other names
Description: bacterial SSU rRNA
Rfam family: Bacterial small subunit ribosomal RNA
Source: RNAcentral